CCAGACUCCUACGGGAGGCAGCAGUGGGGAAUAUUGGGCAAUGGGCGCAAGCCUGACCCAGCAACGCCGCGUGAAGGAAGAAGGCUUUCGGGUUGUAAACUUCUUUUAAGAGGGAAGAGAAGAAGACGGUACCUCUUGAAUAAGCCACGGCUAACUACGUGCCAGCAGCCGCGGUAAUACGUAGGUGGCAAGCGUUGUCCGGAUUUACUGGGUGUAAAGGGCGUGCAGCCGGGCUGACAAGUCAGAUGUGAAAUCCCGCGGCUCAACCGCGGAACUGCAUUUGAAACUGUCAGUCUUGAGUACCGGAGAGGUCAUCGGAAUUCCUUGUGUAGCGGUGAAAUGCGUAGAUAUUAGGAGGAACACCAGUGGCGAA
This 373-nucleotide ribosomal RNA is filed under the name uncultured bacterium. RNAcentral describes it as "partial 16S ribosomal RNA". It matches the Rfam family "Bacterial small subunit ribosomal RNA", at positions 331 to 719 of the family's 1533-position model. The record is from RNAcentral.